AAUCGUAAUACAUGGUCUCCCCAUAGCCCGCGGUGUAGGGAGUGACACGGCUCCGUACUGCUCGUGUAAUAGGGCUCGGUUAAAGUCAGCCACUUUUCGCCGGCGAUUACCGGAACACUCUUUAGACCAUGCCCUUCCUUCCCGACGGUUAGCAGCCGUCUUGUCUCCCAUCCCGGGCGCGGUCCUGAGCCGACUGGUGGACAACUGCACGCGCAUCCGCUUGCCUUGAAGAAACAGACGCAAAAGGGAGGUGGGAAUUAACGCCUGGCACCCAAAGACGGGGACCAAAAUCCAACAAGGGGGAUCCUCAACGUCCUCCGAGAGAAACGAACCCGGCCGGGCAGCAGGGAAGCGGAGCCGGCUCACAGCCUCGCGAUGCAUUGCAAAUUCCCCCCCUCCACACACCCGGUUUCCUCCUUUUUCGCCCCGUUUUGCAGCCUGGUUGAGGAAGGGUGAGGCACCGAACUGCAAUGUGGGGUUUUUGGCACUGAAAUGGGCCCAAAAGCAGAGGAAAUGGCCCCAAAUUUGGGGCUAAAAAGGGCUCAGUGUCUCUGUGCGGCUCAGCACGCGGGGGAAAUGGCACCAAAAGGCCUUAAAUUGGGGUUGGAGGAGUCAAAGUGCUCUAGACUGGGGUUGGAGGACCUCCAAUGUGUCUCACACUGGGGUUGGAGGACCCAAAGUGCCCCAAAUUGGGGUUGGAGGACAAAAAGUGCCCCAAAUUGGGAUUGGUGGACCUCCAAUGUGUCUCGCAUUGGGGUUGGAGGACCAAAGUGCUCCAGAUUGGGGUUGGAGGAUCUCCAAUGUGUCUCACAUUGGGGUUGGAGGACCCAAAGUGCCCCAAAUUGGGGUUGGAGGACACAAAGUGCCCCAAAUUGGGGUUGGAGAACCUCCAACGUGUCUCAUGAUAGGGCUGGAGACCCCAAAGUGCUCCAGAUUGGGGUUGGAGGACACAAAGUGCCCCAAAUUGGGGUUGGAGGUCCUCCAAUGUGUCUCGCGUUGGGGUUGGAGGACCAAAGUGCUCCAGAUUGUGGUUGGAGGUCCCCCAAACUGCCCCAAAUUGGGGCUGAAGGCCCAAGAAUGACUCAACUUGGGGUCAGAGGUCACCAAUUUGGGGUUGGAAGGAACUAAAAGUGACUACAAAUGUCAGCAGACGGAGGAGGAAAGGCACCAAAUUGCCUCAAGUUUGGGUUAGAGAUACCAAAGUGCCCCACAUUUUUGUUAGCGCUGCUACGAGUCUCAACUAACCCAAGGAAAAGCACCAAAACACCCCAAAUAUGUGCUGGAACCGACCAAAACACCCCAAAUAUGGGCUGGAACCGACCAAAAUACCCCAAAUAUGGGCUGGAAAGCACCAAAACACCCCAAAUAUGGGCUGGAAAGGACCAAAACACCCCAAAUAUGGGCUGGAAACGACCAAUACACCCCAAAUUUGGCCUGGAAACAGCUGAGCAUUCCUUCUAAACCUCAACAACCAACACAAAGUGCCCCAAAAUGCCCCAGAUUUAGGAUAAAGACACCAAAAUGCCCCAAAUCUUGGAGAUAUUGGCACAAAUAUUCCCAAUAUUUGGGAUAAAAACACCCAAAUGCCCAGAAUUUGGGCCACGUGGGCAAGAAUAUUCAUGAUACCUGGGAGAAAGGCACCCCAAUGCCCCAGAUUCUGGGGAUAAAGGCAUCAAAACAUCCUCGAUUUGGGGAUAAAAGCAUAAAAAUGCCCCUAAAUGCGGGAUAAAAGCACCAGAACAGCCCAAAUAUCGCACAUAAAGGCACCAAAACCCCUAGAUUUUGGAGAUACAGCUACUAAUAUCUCUAAUUUAGGAUAAAGGCACCAAAAUGCCCCAUGUUUUGGGCAGGAAGGCAACAAGAUACCCCAGAUCUGGGGACAAAGGCACCAAAAUACCCCAGAUUUGGGAUAGAACAGCAUUAAAAUACUCUGGAUUUGGGGACAUAGGCACCAAAAUGCUCCUGAUUCAGGAACAUGGGCACCAAAAUGCUCCGGAUUUGGACACAGAGGCACAAAAACAGCCCAGAUUAGGGACCAAAGGGACCAAUAACCUCAUAUUUCAGACAUCAAUGCACUGAAACACCUCGGAUUUGGGGACCUGGGCACCAAAAUGCUUUGGAUUUGGGG
This is a long non-coding RNA of Coturnix japonica (Japanese quail), 2128 nucleotides long. The record is from Ensembl. Lineage: Eukaryota; Metazoa; Chordata; Aves; Galliformes; Phasianidae.